UACAGAGGUGGCAAGCGUUAUUCGGAAUUAUUGGGCGUAAAGGGCGCGUAGGCGGCUUGGCAAGUCCAGGGUGAAAUCCCUCAGCUCAACUGAGGAACUGCCCUGGAAACUGCUUGGCUCGAGGCCGGGAGAGGGUAGCGGAAUUCCCAGUGUAGCGGUGAAAUGCGUAGAUAUUGGGAGGAACACCGGUGGCGAAGGCGGCUACCUGGACCGGUUCUGACGCUGAUGCGCGAAAGCGUGGGGAGCAAACAGG
This 253-nucleotide ribosomal RNA is filed under the name uncultured Acidobacteriota bacterium. Its description in RNAcentral is "uncultured Acidobacteria bacterium partial 16S ribosomal RNA". It matches the Rfam family "Bacterial small subunit ribosomal RNA", at positions 524 to 776 of the family's 1533-position model. Lineage: Bacteria; Pseudomonadati; Acidobacteriota. The record is from RNAcentral.